RNAcentral lists this ribosomal RNA (433 nucleotides) under uncultured Clostridiales Family IV bacterium. RNAcentral describes it as "bacterial SSU rRNA". It matches the Rfam family "Bacterial small subunit ribosomal RNA", at positions 341 to 792 of the family's 1533-position model. Lineage: Bacteria; Bacillati; Bacillota; Clostridia; Eubacteriales; Eubacteriales Family IV. Incertae Sedis. The record is from RNAcentral.
ACGGAAGGCAGCAGUGAGGGAUAUUGCACAAUGGGCGCAAGCCUGAUGCAGCAACGCCGCGUGAGGGAUGACGGUUUUCGGAUUGUAAACCUCUGUUUUCAGUGAUGAUAAUGACAUUAGCUGAAGAGGAAGCCACGGCUAACUACGUGCCAGCAGCCGCGGUAAUACGUAGGUGGCAAGCGUUGUCCGGAUUUACUGGGUGUAAAGGGAGCGCAGGCGGGAAAGCAAGUCAGUGGUGAAAUGUAUGGGCUUAACCAUAAACUGCCGUUGAAACUGUUUUUCUUGAGUGGAGUAGAGGCAAGCGGAAUUCCGAGUGUAGCGGUGAAAUGCGUAGAUAUUCGGAGGAACACCAAUGGCGAAGGCGGCUUGCUGGGCUCUAACUGACGCUGAGGCUCGAAAGUGUGGGGAGCAAACAGGAUUAGAUACCCUGGUA